AUGAGAUUUGGUGAUGAGGAUUACCUAUUGAUUGAUGAGAACAACCACGAGAUAUAUAUUUUUGGAUCAUUUUUUGAAAAGAUUAAUCAUGCAGGAGUUGGAGGGUUGUGGGUAGAACUUGUGAAUAAUAGAGGUUUUGAAGCAGAAAGUUCCAUUAAUGGGACCUCAAAUAUUUAUCCAUGGACAAUUAAUAGAGAAAAUCAAUCAUCUAUUAUUGUAUGA
Non-coding RNA from Vicia faba (fava bean), 222 nucleotides. NCBI's taxonomy places the organism in Eukaryota, Viridiplantae, Streptophyta, Magnoliopsida, Fabales, Fabaceae. The record is from the annotation of a GenBank genome assembly.